This 497-nucleotide ribosomal RNA is filed under the name uncultured bacterium. RNAcentral describes it as "partial 16S ribosomal RNA". It matches the Rfam family "Bacterial small subunit ribosomal RNA", at positions 28 to 507 of the family's 1533-position model. The record is from RNAcentral.
GAUGAACGCUGGCGGCGUGCCUAAUACAUGCAAGUCGAGCGAACAGAUAAGGAGCUUGCUCCUUUGAAGUUAGCGGCGGACGGGUGAGUAACACGUGGGUAACCUACCUAUAAGACUGGGAUAACUUCGGGAAACCGGAGCUAAUACCGGAUAACAUUUAGAACCGCAUGGUUCUAAAGUGAAAGAUGGCUUUGCUAUCACUUAUAGAUGGACCCGCGCCGUAUUAGCUAGUUGGUAAGGUAACGGCUUACCAAGGCGACGAUACGUAGCCGACCUGAGAGGGUGAUCGGCCACACUGGAACUGAGACACGGUCCAGACUCCUACGGGAGGCAGCAGUAGGGAAUCUUCCGCAAUGGGCGAAAGCCUGACGGAGCAACGCCGCGUGAGUGAUGAAGGGUUUCGGCUCGUAAAACUCUGUUAUUAGGGAAGAACAAAUGUGUAAGUAACUGUGCACAUCUUGACAGUACCUAAUCAGAAAGCCACGGCUAACUACGUG